GAUGAACGCUAGCUACAGGCUUAACACAUGCAAGUCGAGGGGAAACGGCAUUGAGUGCUUGCACUCUUUGGACGUCGACCGGCGCACGGGUGAGUAACGCGUAUCCAACCUUCCCAUUACUGUGGGAUAACCUGCCGAAAGGCAGACUAAUACCGCAUAGUCUUCGAUGACGGCAUCAGAUUUGAAGUAAAGAUUUAUCGGUAAUGGAUGGGGAUGCGUCUGAUUAGCUUGUUGGCGGGGUAACGGCCCACCAAGGCUACGAUCAGUAGGGGUUCUGAGAGGAAGGUCCCCCACAUUGGAACUGAGACACGGUCCAAACUCCUACGGGAGGCAGCAGUGAGGAAUAUUGGUCAAUGGACGGAAGUCUGAACCAGCCAAGUAGCGUGCAGGAUGACGGCCCUAUGGGUUGUAAACUGCUUUUGUAUGGGGAUAAAGUUAGGGACGUGUCCCUAUUUGCAGGUACCAUACGAAUAAGGACCGGCUAAUUCCGUGCCAGCAGCCGCGGUAAUACGUAGGUCCCGAGCGUUGUCCGGAUUUAUUGGGCGUAAAGCGAGCGCAGGCGGUUUGAUAAGUCUGAAGUUAAAGGCUGUGGCUCAACCAUAGUUCGCUUUGGAAACUGUCAAACUUGAGUGCAGAAGGGGAGAGUGGAAUUCCAUGUGUAGCGGUGAAAUGCGUAGAUAUAUGGAGGAACACCGGUGGCGAAAGCGGCUCUCUGGUCUGUAACUGACGCUGAGGCUCGAAAGCGUGGGGAGCGAACAGG
This 760-nucleotide ribosomal RNA is filed under the name uncultured Chryseobacterium sp. RNAcentral describes it as "bacterial SSU rRNA". It matches the Rfam family "Bacterial small subunit ribosomal RNA", at positions 28 to 776 of the family's 1533-position model. The record is from RNAcentral. Lineage: Bacteria; Pseudomonadati; Bacteroidota; Flavobacteriia; Flavobacteriales; Weeksellaceae.